RNAcentral lists this ribosomal RNA (253 nucleotides) under uncultured bacterium. Its description in RNAcentral is "partial 16S ribosomal RNA". It matches the Rfam family "Bacterial small subunit ribosomal RNA", at positions 524 to 776 of the family's 1533-position model. The record is from RNAcentral.
UACGUAGGGACCGAGCGUUGUCCGGAAUCAUUGGGCGUAAAGAGCGUGUAGGCGGCUAUUUAAGUCCUGCGUGAAAUCCUGCGGCUCAACCGCAGACGGUCGUGGGAAACUGGAUGGCUAGAGUGCGGGAGAGGAGAGUGGAAUUCCCGGUGUAGCGGUGAAAUGCGCAGAUAUCGGGAAGAACACCCGUGGCUAAGGCGGCUCUCUAGUACGUGACUGACGCUGAGACGCGAAAGCGUGGGGAGCGAACAGG